CCACUUCAAACCAGGGGCACAGGAGAGCGGCGUUUCACACACGGAGAGAGGCAGGCAGACCUGGCCCCACACAGCCUGGCUGGGGAGCCUUUCCAAGCAACCAGUUGGGCGCCUUUCGCCAGCCCCCGAGCCGAGGAUAGCGCUGGAAGCGUCCCCACACACACACCUCCUCCCGCCGCCUCUGCUGAAGACCUGGCCCGGGCGCCUUUGUUGUUGCUGCUGCCAGAGACCGAGCCGGCCGGGCUGCUGCUUAAGACGCGCUGAUCCUUAGCUAAGCUGGCCCCGAGCUCUUCCUUGACUCCCCGCCUGCGCCCCCGGACCUCUCCGGCCAUCCCUUCCAGCCCGAGGUGGCCGCGCUCGGCCUUCUCGAACUUCUGGACGCCGCUCGCCUAGGGCAGCAAAAAACUUGGGGCCUUAUUCGUGGGGUGGGGGGCAAGGGUUGGGGGCCGGCCCAGGUUGCUUCGGCUGCGCCUAGCAGGGCGACGGAGCGCUCCCUCUCUCCUCUAAGCCUGUUAGGGACACAUUCUCAUGUCCUUAAACGUACAAGCAGAUAAUUGUUGGCGCUCUAGCUUUGUGCGAAGGGGGCCAGGGUGUAAAUGCCGUUUAAUGACUGCAGCUGCUGGCUGAAAACUGUCAAUGGAAUUGGCUAAUGCAGAGGCCCCGGGAAAAGGGGGCUGUUUUUUUGUUUUUUUUUUUGCAAGCGAGCUGCAGAAACCGAGCGCCGCUGGAGCCGAAGAGGGAGCUGGAGAGGGCAGGAGAGACAGACAGACCGACCGACCGAGGGACGGCAAGAAAAGGAAGACGCAAAGGAAGAAAAGAGACCGGGGGUGGGGGGGGGGGGCGGAUAGAGAAAGAAGCCAGGAUCGCAGCAGCCAAGCCAAGCGCUCUUCAUCCAGGCCACGGAAAGCAAAGACCUUCUGCUCUUGAGAAAAUCCUUUCCGGAUCCUGUUCACCGGGUUGCAGUGCUGGUGGCUGGGAACAGAACAGCUGGUGUCCUGCCUUAAUUGGAUUUAUGGACUAAGUCACCCUGUGUAGAAGGCUAAAGAAGAUGUAGAUCAAUGAAUUCAGCAAAGAAGCAACCACAAGAUGAAAGGAGGAAACAUCUGUCAGACUUCUGUUUGGGUGCCUAAGGGUGCAAUCCUUAUCUCAUUAUUGAUGGCAAACAAUGAUGUUAAUGAAUCAGCACUCCAUUCAUAAAACUUUAAAAUUCUGCAUACUUAAGGAGGACUUUUCAAAUCUGUUCAGAUUUUUUUUUUAUGUAUGGUUAGGGAAAUGACGGUCAAAACAGAGGUGAUGUAUACCUCCAGUCAGUAGAUGGUGCUAUACUAUUUCUUACUGGUAUUAUUAUCCUAUCUGGAAGUUCAGCCAAUUGGCCAAUCUGGCAGGGGCUGAUGGGAUUUGUAGUCCAUGAACAUCUGGAGAGCCGCAGGUUGCAGACCCCUGUGUCUGCUACCAGCAAAAAUUCAUUUAAUAAAGAUUAUUUCUUCAAUCAAGGAUUAGAAUAGUGUGAACAAUGUAAUGGGGAAAAAUUUCAAGCCCACAAUUCAUAGCUGUCUCCUUUGUUCUUUGAUUUCUCUCUGGUCUUUUAUGCCAGUGAUACAUGAGAGGGUGGUUUGAAUGAAAAGCUCCAUCUAUCAAGUUUAACAAUUUCUCUGGUGUAACUUCUGAGCACGCUCAUUGCCUAUUCAUGUCGAAGUGAGCAUGCCCAGCUUGUUCUGCCUAGCUUUGCUAUUCUUCUUUGUUUGUUCACAAGGCUCUUGUGGUAGCUGCAAACGGUUUCUCAAGUGACAUUUGCUGACAUUCAGGGGAGUGUAUUUAUCAGCUUUCUUCAGCUCACCUCUAUACAUGCAAUCCAUUUUAUUUGUGUUCUUCAUAGCAACCUUCUUUUUUCUAUCCAUGCCCUGAAAAUAAUAAAUGGCGAGAUGGCAAAUUUCCCUAGCUGCACUAAAAUGUCACUGUGAAGUGUGUAUAUGUGUGCGUGGGGGGGAAGGGGGGGAGAUCUUUAAUGGACUAAGUAUAGCAUUUCAGGUUGUAACUUAUCAAGGUACUGGGAAAUUCUAGAGUUUUUUUUUAAUCCACAAUUCUUUGGAACCACACUAGUGUAGGCAGAGAGUCUAAUUAUAAGUUACACCAGUCAGAGGUGGACAAGCAUAAACCAAGUGGAAAACAUUUCACGGCUGCUAAUUUUAUAUCUCACUUCUUUGUAUUCUCAACACUCUGCUACUUCGUUCCCCAACAUUACACGGACCCAGUGUGUUUACCUAUGUUCUAA
Molecule: long non-coding RNA, 2272 nt
Organism: Sphaerodactylus townsendi
Lineage: Eukaryota; Metazoa; Chordata; Lepidosauria; Squamata; Sphaerodactylidae
Exons: 3
Source: RefSeq, a predicted model, not a curated record